UACAGAGGGGGCAAGCGUUGUUCGGAAUUACUGGGCGUAAAGGGCGCGUAGGCGGCCUUCUAAGUCAGACGUGAAAUCCCCGGGCUCAACCCGGGAACUGCGUCUGAGACUGAAAGGCUCGAAUCCGGGAGAGGGAUGUGGAAUUCCAGGUGUAGCGGUGAAAUGCGUAGAUAUCUGGAGGAACACCGGUGGCGAAGGCGGCAUCCUGGACCGGUAUUGACGCUGAGGCGCGAAAGCCAGGGGAGCAAAC
Molecule: ribosomal RNA, 250 nt
Filed under: uncultured bacterium
Lineage: Bacteria
Description: partial 16S ribosomal RNA
Rfam family: Bacterial small subunit ribosomal RNA
Source: RNAcentral